RNAcentral lists this long non-coding RNA (514 nucleotides) under Rattus norvegicus (Norway rat). RNAcentral's name for it is "long non-coding RNA NONRATT027171". Lineage: Eukaryota; Metazoa; Chordata; Mammalia; Rodentia; Muridae. The record is from RNAcentral.
GCUACUCUGGGCUGCUACAACAAAGGCUGCUCCUUCCGAUACCAUUACCCGUGUGCCAUUGACGCAGAUUGUUUGCUGCAUGAGGAGAAUUUCUCGGUGAGGUGCCCCAAGCACAAGAACAAGACCGCAAAAGGCAGCCUCAGCACAGAGCAGUCGGAGCGGGGGUGAGGGGGGAAGUGUGCACGUGGGAAUGGACAGCAAGCACAGGUGAGACUGUGGAGAUGAGAAGGUGGUGGACACACUUGUUGGAAUGGAAUCCUCCUGCUGUGCAACCACACCCCACUCUGCCCUGCCCUGCACCCCGCUGCGCCUGCCCAUGCCAGCACUUCCCUCCUAUGUUCUCACAUCUCACUCAAACUGGUGACACCACAGGAAAAGAAAGACACAAGAUGUUGGAAUGGCUGUUUCCAUGGACACAAUCUCCAUAGUGACAAUGUGGGGAGGGGGGAGGGGUGGGCUGAUGGGGAAACGGGGAGUUAAAAGGGAGGGAUAAAAAAUAUAUAUAUAUAAAUCU